CUUUUCGGGGCAGGGUGAAAUUCCCUACCGGCGGUACAGCCCGCGAACCGAGCCGCAUGGCCCGGCCGACCUGGUGCGAUUCCAGGGCCGACAGUAUAGUCUGGAUGUGAGAAGAG
RNAcentral lists this non-coding RNA (116 nucleotides) under pig gut metagenome. Its description in RNAcentral is "FMN riboswitch (RFN element)". It matches the Rfam family "FMN riboswitch aptamer (RFN element)". Rfam says of the family: The RFN element is a highly conserved domain that is found frequently in the 5'-untranslated regions of prokaryotic mRNAs that encode for flavin mononucleotide (FMN) biosynthesis and transport proteins. The record is from RNAcentral.